AGGGGUCAACAGCCUCAACCAAGAUGCAGCUUCCUAAAGAUCCUAAGCAUGCAUUGUGUUUGAUUCAGAGGUUCUUUGUAAUUCAGCUGUUUGUAUCGCUUGGUCAGGAUUUCUCUGUUGAAUUAGGGAUUUGUGAUAUGGGUAAUAACAAGAGACGUAUUGUGCUGUCAACUUCCCAUAAAGAAGUUUCUGUCACACCCUUGCAU
Anneissia japonica is the source of this 206-nucleotide long non-coding RNA. RefSeq lists it as uncharacterized. The transcript has 3 exons. NCBI's taxonomy places the organism in Eukaryota, Metazoa, Echinodermata, Crinoidea, Comatulida, Comatulidae. The record is from RefSeq and is a predicted model, not a curated record.